CACGUAGGGGCCAAGCGUUGUCCGGAUUUAUUGGGCGUAAAGAGCUCGUAGGCGGUUCGGUAAGUCGGGUGUGAAAACUCUGGGCUCAACCCAGAGACGCCACCCGAUACUGCUGUGACUAGAGUCCGGUAGGGGAGUGGGGAAUUCCUGGUGUAGCGGUGAAAUGCACAGAUAUCAGGAGGAACACCGGUGGCGAAGGCGCCACUCUGGGCCGGUACUGACGCUGAGGAGCGAAAGCGUGGGGAGCAAACAGG
Molecule: ribosomal RNA, 254 nt
Filed under: uncultured bacterium
Lineage: Bacteria
Description: partial 16S ribosomal RNA
Rfam family: Bacterial small subunit ribosomal RNA
Source: RNAcentral